Spinacia oleracea (spinach) is the source of this 700-nucleotide long non-coding RNA. RefSeq lists it as uncharacterized. The record is from RefSeq and is a predicted model, not a curated record. The transcript is spliced from 6 exons. Lineage: Eukaryota; Viridiplantae; Streptophyta; Magnoliopsida; Caryophyllales; Amaranthaceae.
CAACACACCGAACGAGUCAUCGCUGCUGUUCCCCACCGCGGUGUCGCCGCUAUUGUUCCCCCACCGUCGCGUCGUCGCUGCUGUUCCCCCACCACCGCUGCUCAUUCCCCUCUCUGGUUCUUUGCGUCCUAGUUUUAAUUCUAGUUUCUUCCAGAUCGAAUUAAUUCAGUUGGGGCUUCUUCGUUGUUACCUUCUUUCUCCUUGGGCGAUUGCGACCAUGACAUCAAAAUUCUAGUACUGUGAAGCCUGCAAAUAAGGAAGUUGCUUCUGACACUGAAACAGAUAUGAAGAUUGAGGGAUUUGUCCAGCAGUGUCACAUUUUCUUCCAAAUCUCCUAUUCUUGGUGUGAAGAAUGCAACCACAAAGCUUGAGAAGUUGAAGUUUUCUGAUGGUCAACAUGUCAUCAUACCGCAGCAUAUCCAAGUCCAUGAUUCCGUAAAGAAUGUAUGAAUCUUUGGAAGCCUUGAUGCAAGUUUUGGGGUCGGGGAGAACUGUGUAGUAGACGGUGAAAGCAAUGGGAGCUUUAACCCUGUUACCGAUUCAGUUCACGAGGAACCUGUCAGUGAGCUUUCUUUAUGUGUGCAUAUCAGUUUCAGUGGCUUCAGUCUACUAUUCAAGGUAUUCAAUAAUCCGAGGGAGCGGCCUUUCACCUUUGAGGAGAUAGAUGAAGUUCAAGAAAUGUUGGCAAAUUUCAUUACCA